Centruroides sculpturatus (bark scorpion) is the source of this 687-nucleotide long non-coding RNA. RefSeq lists it as uncharacterized. The record is from RefSeq and is a predicted model, not a curated record. The transcript has 3 exons. NCBI's taxonomy places the organism in Eukaryota, Metazoa, Arthropoda, Arachnida, Scorpiones, Buthidae.
UAUCAAACGCCAUUGUCAAACUUCUAGGCUUACAGGAAGGCGGCGCCGAACAUCCGACGUUCACGUUUUCGCGAUGAAAACGUCGGCCGCAACCUCUCUAUAAUCUACUUGCAAAAACACCUCAAAUGAACUAGAUGUAUUUUCGGUUGUGGUAUAUAUGUUAUUCCGAGUCGUAUUGGUAUUCUCGAUCGCCAUAUGUUAUUCCAGGAUAUAAUGUCGACCGAAGAGGGGCCGAAACGCGUCUCGACAAAGUUCUAAAAUAAUCCAAGUGUGUAUGAAUUCACCCAGUCGUGACAUUGAACCAAACAAGAAAAAGAAGACACUGUUUCGAUACAUUCAUACAAUAAAUAUCUCAACUAUAAUUAAGUUUACAGUCAGAAGCCGUUUCCGCAGAGUCAUGGAAAACUUGUGUUGGCCCAAGAUUAAAACAAGUCCUUUCAGCCAUUGUUUUCUCAACAAAUGAAAUACGUAGAGUGUAAAACUAAUAUCAAUAAUAUUCGCCGGAUACAAUUACUGGACAAUGGGGGGAAUAAACAUUUCGAGAAACAUGCGAACGAAAUUGUUGGACAGCCCCUUAAGAAGGUGCGUUACAUAAUUUAUGGACGAUCUCAACUCAAAGUCCGAAUCUUGGCACUGUCCGGUGUCAUUAUGAUUCACGUUUGAGGAAUGCGAAACAUGUUACCAAAA